AACGUCUGUAGACAAUGCAAUCAGUAAGUUAGACAGAUACACAAGAGAUUGGCUCCAAACCGCAAGAAGUUAUACAAACAGUCUGUGUUACAGAUACAACCCUUUUCAACCAAGAUUUAACGAAAGUCUAGCUGGAAGACCAUUUGAUUUCUUUCCUAGAGCUACUGAAAUAGAACCUCGCCCUACCUGGUCUCCUACAUGCUCAUCCUCUUCCAAGAGGUUUUACUUUCCGAGAACUGUCACACAUGAUGGGAAAACAUGUUGGAUGGUAUUUCCAUGGUAUCAAAUGCAUUGUCCCUACGUUACAUGCAC
Mytilus trossulus (common blue mussel) is the source of this 312-nucleotide long non-coding RNA. RefSeq lists it as uncharacterized. Lineage: Eukaryota; Metazoa; Mollusca; Bivalvia; Mytilida; Mytilidae. The record is from RefSeq and is a predicted model, not a curated record. The transcript has 2 exons.